Molecule: ribosomal RNA, 496 nt
Filed under: uncultured bacterium
Lineage: Bacteria
Description: partial 16S ribosomal RNA
Rfam family: Bacterial small subunit ribosomal RNA
Source: RNAcentral
GAUGAACGCUGGCGGCGUGCCUAAUACAUGCAAGUCGAGCGAACAGACGAGGAGCUUGCUCCUCUGACGUUAGCGGCGGACGGGUGAGUAACACGUGGAUAACCUACCUAUAAGACUGGGAUAACUUCGGGAAACCGGAGCUAAUACCGGAUAAUAUAUUGAACCGCAUGGUUCAAUAGUGAAAGACGGUUUUGCUGUCACUUUUGAUGGAUCCGCGCCGCAUUAGCUAGUUGGUAAGGUAACGGCUUACCAAGGCGACGAUGCGUAGCCGACCUGAGAGGGUGAUCGGCCACACUGGAACUGAGACACGGUCCAGACUCCUACGGGAGGCAGCAGUAGGGAAUCUUCCGCAAUGGGCGAAAGCCUGACGGAGCAACGCCGCGUGAGUGAUGAAGGUCUUCGGAUCGUAAAACUCUGUUAUUAGGGAAGAACAAAUGUGUAAGUAACUAUGCACGUCUUGACGGUACCUAAUCAGAAAGCCACGGCUAACUACGUG